CCUAACUGCCACUGUCUUCAGUUCUCCGGUUUGGAAUUAGCAUUUCACCAUUAUAUGUGGGGAAUUGAAGAAGGCUUUAGUCGAAAUCGAAGGGGGUUAGAAUAAAGGAUUGUUUUUGAUUUGCCCAACAAUUCCAGUCUCGUAACCAGGAGUCAUCUCAAGGGGAAGAAACUUAUACGAGUAAAGAAGGUUAAUGGAAAUGGGAGAGAUGAAUAGAGAUUGAAGAUUAUAAGUAACAACAGCAAGAAGACAAGAUAAUGAGAUUUGGAUCUCCACGAAGAUGGCAAAUUGGAGUCUAAAAGAAGUGGAGAAUGCAACGAAGAAAAUUUACAACCCACCACCGUGUAUAUAGUCAUAGACUCAUAGUCAAUCAUGAACUCUAAACAGGCAAAGAAAAGAUCUUUACAGUUCCUGAUAACGCAAGCAAAAAGUAAAGAUGCAGCACAAUCCACCAUAUAGAUAACUCAUAUUGGAGCAUCUGCACUUAGCCUGGACAUCUUCAUGGUUGCAGAGAUUGUCCAUCACUUCUUGGCAAACGCUAGUUAAAUUCGAUAAGGC
Molecule: long non-coding RNA, 558 nt
Organism: Papaver somniferum (opium poppy)
Lineage: Eukaryota; Viridiplantae; Streptophyta; Magnoliopsida; Ranunculales; Papaveraceae
Exons: 3
Source: RefSeq, a predicted model, not a curated record